AACGAACGCUGGCGGCAGGCCUAACACAUGCAAGUCGAGCGCUACCUUCGGGUGGAGCGGCGGACGGGUUAGUAACGCGUGGGAAUAUACCCAGUUCUAAGGAAUAGCCACUGGAAACGGUGAGUAAUACCUUAUACGCCCUUCGGGGGAAAGAUUUAUCGGAAUUGGAUUAGCCCGCGUUAGAUUAGAUAGUUGGUGGGGUAAUGGCCUACCAAGUCUACGAUCUAUAGCUGGUUUGAGAGGAUGAUCAGCAACACUGGGACUGAGACACGGCCCAGACUCUUACGGGAGGCAGCAGUGGGGAAUCUUAGACAAUGGGCGCAAGCCUGAUCUAGCCAUGCCGCGUGAGUGAUGAAGGCCCUAGGGUCGUAAAGCUCUUUCACCUGUGAAGAUAAUGACGGUAGCAGUAGAAGAAACCCCGGCUAACUCCGUGCCAGCAGCCGCGGUAAUACGGAGGGGGUUAGCGUUGUUCGGAAUUACUGGGCGUAAAGCGUACGUAGGCGGAUUAAUAAGUUAGAGGUGAAAUCCCAGGGCUCAACCCUGGAACUGCCUUUAAAACUGUUAGUCUUGAGAUCGAGAGAGGUGAGUGGAAUUCCAAGUGUAGAGGUGAAAUUCGUAGAUAUUUGGAGGAACACCAGUGGCGAAGGCGGCUCACUGGCUCGAUACUGACGCUGAG
This 676-nucleotide ribosomal RNA is filed under the name bacterium IMCC8839. Its description in RNAcentral is "bacterial SSU rRNA". It matches the Rfam family "Bacterial small subunit ribosomal RNA", at positions 28 to 750 of the family's 1533-position model. The record is from RNAcentral.